This 239-nucleotide ribosomal RNA is filed under the name uncultured bacterium. RNAcentral's name for it is "partial 16S ribosomal RNA". It matches the Rfam family "Bacterial small subunit ribosomal RNA", at positions 104 to 334 of the family's 1533-position model. The record is from RNAcentral.
CGGGACGGGGUGGAGUAACGCGUGGGUAACCGUGCCUUGUACUGGGGGACGAAAGUUAGAAAUGACUGCUAAUACCGCAUAAGCGCACAGUAUCGCAUGAUACAGUGUGAAAAACUCCGGUGGUACAAGAUGGACCCGCGUCUGAUUAGCUAGUUGGUAAGGUAACGGCUUACCAAGGCGACGAUCAGUAGCCGACCUGAGAGGGUGACCGGCCACAUUGGGACUGAGACACGGCCCAA